This 253-nucleotide ribosomal RNA is filed under the name uncultured bacterium. RNAcentral's name for it is "partial 16S ribosomal RNA". It matches the Rfam family "Bacterial small subunit ribosomal RNA", at positions 524 to 776 of the family's 1533-position model. The record is from RNAcentral.
UACGUAGGGUGCGAGCGUUGUCCGGAAUUAUUGGGCGUAAAGGGCGCGUAGGCGGCAUGUUAAGUCGGCUGUGAAAUCCUGCGGCUUAACCGCAGGGCUGCCUUCUAAACUGUCAGGCUCGAGCACAGUAGAGGCAGGUGGAAUUCCCGGUGUAGCGGUGGAAUGCGUAGAUAUCGAGAGGAACACCGGUGGCGAAGGCGGCUAUCUGGACGAUGACUGACGCUGAGACGCGAAAGCGUGGGGAGCAAACAGG